UUUACCCCCGAAUGCAAGUUUAAAGAAUCUGUUUUUGAAAACUAUUAUGUAAUCUACUCAUCUAUGCUGUACAGACAACAGGAAUCUGGUAGAGCCUGGUUUUUGGGUUUGAAUAAAGAAGGGCAAGUUAUGAAAGGAAACAGAGUAAAGAAAACCAAACCAGCAGCUCAUUUUCUACCCAAGCCAUUGGAAGUUGCCAUGUACCGAGAACCAUCUUUGCAUGACGUUGGAGAAACGGUCCCGAAGGCCGGGGUGACGCCGAGUAAAAGCACAAGUGCGUCUGCAAUAAUGAAUGGAGGCAAACCAGUCAACAAAAGUAAGACGACAUAGCCCGAUCCUCACAGGUGUUGUGACUUACUCGUCCCGAGCACAGUUGAGUGAUUAUCCUUGCCAGACAUUCCUGCUCCGUGGCUGAGGAGCAGCUGGAAGUAAGCAGAUGCUUGCUCUUUGCUGUCUCGAACUUCUUGGUUGCAAGUGGAUAAAUCUCAACCUGUUGCACCCCCCACAACAAGAAGACACCUGGAUAACCAGCUAAACUCAGACCAUGGAAUGCCCUACCAGAUAUGGAAUGCCUUUUUAAUAUCUUUUCUGUGACUGUGACACUUCAUGUGAAUGACAUACUUCACAAGUACACUCGAUACUUUGCCUGCUGACAGCUACCCAUAAUCCUUUUUGAGUCCUGUUUCAGCGAAAUCCAUGUGUUUAAGUUCAAUUUUGUAGCACACAAAUACUAUUGAGUAAUUUCUAGUUAGACGCUGUAAACCUGUGCUAUUAUGGAUUUCUCUUCUUCCCGUUUUUACAGGGCUGCUCGCUCCACUGUCUGUGAUAUUUUGCAGGGAUUGUGUUUCUCUAAAUCGUAAAGGUUGCAGUUGGCUUGGUUUGGAGAGCGAUCAGGGAAUCAGGAAGUCUUCUAAACCUAUUAUUACAAAUUGCAUCUAUAAAGAUUAUGAGUGUUGUCUCCGGAUCCCUCUAUCGAUUAAACACACAUAUAUGCUCUAUCCAGUAGCAGAUCCUGUGCUCCUGAGGUGGCCAGGGUGAGAAAUGGGUCAAACACAGUCCAUGGGAAGCUCUCUACAAUAUGUGUUUGACAUUCCCCUAUAGUUUCUUUGUGUGUGUGUGUGUUUUCUACAUAUCACAAGCUUACUGGUAAUGGUAACAUUUGCCUUGCCCAGCGAGCAAGACCCACUGGUUUUUGAGAAAGUGGGUCCAAAGAACUCUGUAGGCCUUGUAGGCCUGAUUAAGGUUCAUUUUUCAUCUACUAAUCCUCACUAUUUGGAAAAAAAGAAAAAAAAAAAAGGAAAAAUCAAUAAGUACAACCUAGAAGAAUUGCGCUACCUAAAUCCAUUUCAGAUAUAAUCCUUCCUGUUUUUAAUGAACCGAACUUAAUGCCAUCCCCAGUUUUGGCUGCAUUCCACUCACACUCGGCAGAGCAUGGGCAAGGCGCCUGUUGUGUUCUCUUCUGCAGCAGCAAUGCAAACGUUAGUUAUAAAUUAGACUUUAAUAUUUUUGGUGUUUAAUGACAAGUUUUUAAACUGGACAUAUUAGGAAAAAAUAUUUUUUUUAGCUCAGCAUGCUGAGUCAGGUACUGUGUUUUCACCAGUCCAUACCUCUAACUCAGCUUCUCGGGGCCCAGGCUGCCCAACGGCUGGGGUAGAGGUGCCUUGCCAUCAUCUCAGAAUGCAGUCUGUUGAAUUCUUCUAGAUAAAAUUAAAGGCAAACCAACACAUUCAAACAUCAGGUUUUUGGUCCAUUCAAUUGAUUUGCUUUUGUUUUAUUUUGCUUUCUUAAUUUCCUUUUGAAUAACUCUGAGCUUAGGGAAGACAACUACUAAGAAAGGCCAUGAACAGUUGACUAGGCAGUGAAGAAACCAUGCAAAAUGUUCAAUGUUGGAUAUAAAGAGUUUCAAGAUGUUUAAUACUGAACUGUUUGGAAAUAUAUUUGUUAACUCUGUGUACUUAAUAAAAUUCAAUGUUUUAUCCUCAGAAGAGUUGAGACCAAACUGAACCUCAUUUAUAGAAAGCUAUAUGUGAGAUCAAUGUACUGGCCUCUUGUUCUUAUUUCCAUGUGGAAGGCCUCCCUGUCUUCCCCCACCUGCACUGUGUUUACUGGGAAAUUAUUUUGUCAUUGGUUUCCUAAGUCUACAUGACAGCCCCUGCCCAGCAUUUAAAAAUUUUGGCCUGCUUAGCUGAUUAAAGAUUUAGUAUAAAUUUAA
Molecule: non-coding RNA, 2212 nt
Organism: Ceratotherium simum simum (southern white rhinoceros)
Lineage: Eukaryota; Metazoa; Chordata; Mammalia; Perissodactyla; Rhinocerotidae
Source: RefSeq, a predicted model, not a curated record